GAGGAAACUGCAGACUGUGUGGCCUCAGGGGCAGGACGCAGGCUGCCUCACGGAAGCUCUAUGCAGACCGAUGCCAGCUCACGGGGAGGAGGAACCUCUGCCUAUCAGAGUGUCCAUCCAUAGGCCUGGCCACCUUGGGGCCACCUCCCAUCUCUCCUCUGUCAGCUCUCUGGUCCCUCGUUCCAGCUAACACACCUCCCAUCUCUGGGGGUGUGUUAGCAGGGGUGGCUUGACCCCAGCCGUUCCAUUCCAGAAACAAAGGGCAGGUGUAGGUUUUUCCAGUUAGUUGUUAGAGUUUUUUUGGGACCCUGCAGACUGGCGUCUAGAGCAGCUGUGACCUGAGGUGGCUGCCAAAGGGCUCCAGGUGUUUGCCAGAUGAUAGGGGUGUGGUCUGAGGGUCCAGCCCUGAUGGGUGCCUGUGCCCUGACACACGAGGCCUCACCUCAUUGAAAAUUGGGGCUAGGCAGCUUUGUCAAACUGCCCAGAGCACUGGAGAUUGGAGAGGAAGGGUGCCCAACCCACACAGGGUGUGACAGUGCUUGUUCUCUGUCCUCUGCAGCAGGUUGGGCAACCUGGGCAGGGCCAUGCCAUGCCAUGUCGUGGCCCUGCACCCUUUAGAAGAUCCACUCUCCCGUGCCCUGGUGGGGUUUCCUCAGGGAAGUGGCCACCCUAUUCUCCCCACUGAGCUGGGGGUCCCCCUGGCAAAUGGAUGACCAGCUGCAGUCCUGCCCCGGCUCUGGGUUUCUGAGUGGUCACUAGGGCAGGAGAGGAAGAGUGUCCCAACACAGCAGGCGGCUGGCACAGGAUAGUAUCCCUGUGGCUCAGUGCCACCACACGUCCCAUGCCCCAGGCUCUGUGAAGGCUGCUGCGCUUGACUCUUGGGACUCAGUUCUGCUGUGGCUUCAGGACAGGCUUCUCCCAUCUUGCUGUGCUGCUGUACUGUUGUCCCCUGCCUGAUUCACUCUGGGUUAACUGUUGGGUGGCUGCAUCCUGACCUGCUACACCCAGCUCAGCCCUUGUCAGCAUUGUCAGGCUGGGGCCAGCAUUGUUGGUGGCCCCCAAAUUCCUGCAAAGCCUUUCCAUCUCAACAUGCCAUGUGCAAUGGAAUGCUGCUUGCACAUGGCCCUUACACGUGCCAGGGUCUACCCACACGCACUGCGACCAGGUGAUGCCUGCACCUGCCUGACCUGUGUAUGCAUGGGGUGCCAAUCCCACCUUUAACCCCCUCCCACCAGCCUAGACACCCCUGCCUCCUAAAUAUGCUCCUUUCUUUCCACCUGUGCACCUUUUACGCUCUCUCCUGGCCUGUUCACAGGUAACUCUUGCUGUGCAUGACUUCCUCUGGCAGAGCGACCCUGUGAUGUUGAUCUAGGAUGUCUGCCAAAUGAAGGCACAAUCGCCAUCUUCCCUCCACUGACAGCAGGAGCAGUGCUGCUUUGUCCCCAGGCCCGUCAUGCUGCUCAGCCCAUGGCCAGACAUGGAGUGGAGGGCCAGUCUGUCCACUCAGGGUCAGAUGGACCUGCCUGAUGCUGCAGGAGAUGAGGUACAGAUGGGCCGAAGCAUCUCUCUUGGGACACACUGCACACUGGUGUGGCUCCUUGGUGACCUUGCUCUACCUCUGUUGCAUCAGCUGCUGCAUGGGGUUAGUGGGUCUGGCUCACUGCCCUGAUUGCCGGGGUGUGGUGAGCUGGAGGAACGUCAGAGCUGGCUAUUGAGGUGGAUGACACGGUCUUGGCAGAGCGGGAAAUGGGUGGGAGGGGGGUGGCGCUCGACUCAACAAGAAAGAUGGGCCAGAAGUAAUCGAGAUUAUUGAAAGGGGAGCCAGAAGGGACUUGGCACUGCGACCAGCAUAUGACGUGGCAUGAGUCUCUUGCCCUAUCUGGAUAUUACAGUUGUUCUGGACAAAAUGUGGCUUCCUUCCUCGGACCCUGCAUCUGGGGAUGGAAGCACUGUGGUGGCAUGGAUCUUGACAAUCAGUGUGGUAUCUCCUGUGUGCAGAACAUGCAUGGCACAGGGUAGGAACUCACCAGGUGUUUGUUCAAUAAUUGAAUGAAUGAAUAAAAUGCAAGUUGGACUUUUGUAA
Long non-coding RNA from Homo sapiens (human), 2083 nucleotides. RefSeq lists it as uncharacterized. The record is from RefSeq and is a predicted model, not a curated record. The transcript is spliced from 2 exons. NCBI's taxonomy places the organism in Eukaryota, Metazoa, Chordata, Mammalia, Primates, Hominidae.